This 433-nucleotide ribosomal RNA is filed under the name uncultured bacterium. RNAcentral's name for it is "partial 16S ribosomal RNA". It matches the Rfam family "Bacterial small subunit ribosomal RNA", at positions 29 to 507 of the family's 1533-position model. The record is from RNAcentral.
AACGAACGCUGGCGGCAUGCCUAACACAUGCAAGUCGAACGAGACCUUCGGGUCUAGUGGCGCACGGGUGCGUAACGCGUGGGAACCUGCCCUUAGGUUCGGCAUAACUCCCCGAAAGGGGUGCUAAUACCGGAUCAUGUCUUCGGACCAAAGAUUUAUCGCCUUUGGAUGGGCCCGCGUUGGAUUAGCUAGUUGGUAGGGUAAAAGCCUACCAAGGCGACGAUCCAUAGCUGGUCUGAGAGGAUGAUCAGCCACACUGGGACUGAGACACGGCCCAGACUCCUACGGGAGGCAGCAGUGGGGAAUAUUGGAAAAUGGGCGAAAGCCUGAACCAGCAAUGACGCGUGAGUGAUGAAGGCCUUAGGGUUGUAAAGCUCUUUUACCCGGGAUGAUAAUGACAGUACCGGGAGAAUAAGCUCCGGCUAACUCCGUG